GCCGGGUGUGGUGGCGGGCGCCUGUAGUCCCAGCUACUCGGGAGGCUGAGGCAGAAAAAUGGUGUGAACCCAGGAGGCGGAGCUUGCAGUGAGCCGAGAUCGCGCCACUGCACUCCAGCCUGGGUGACAGAGCGAGACUCCGUCUCAAAAAAAAAAAAAAGAGUUUCACUCUGUUGCCCAGCCUGGAGUGCAGUGGCACAAUCUCGGCUCACUGCAACCUCCGCCUCCCGGGUUCAAGUGAUUCUCGUGCCUCAG
Molecule: small RNA, 255 nt
Filed under: Macaca mulatta (Rhesus monkey)
Lineage: Eukaryota; Metazoa; Chordata; Mammalia; Primates; Cercopithecidae
Description: Metazoan signal recognition particle RNA (ENSMMUG00000060100.1)
Source: RNAcentral